Triticum aestivum (bread wheat) is the source of this 2847-nucleotide long non-coding RNA. RefSeq lists it as uncharacterized. The transcript has 3 exons. The record is from RefSeq and is a predicted model, not a curated record. Lineage: Eukaryota; Viridiplantae; Streptophyta; Magnoliopsida; Poales; Poaceae.
CUCUUCUCUUAUCCUAAAUCGAGCCUCCCGGCGCCACUCCCGACCCAACCGCCGUCCCGUUCCACCUCCCGGCCAUCGCGCCUGCCACCGCGCCCCACCUCCCGGCCAUCCCGCCCACCACCGCGCACCACCUCCCGACCAUGGCGCCCGCUGCCGCGCCCCACCUCCCGGCCAUGGCGCCCGCCGCCGCGCACCACCUCCUGGUCAUGGCGCCCGCCGCCGCGCCCCACCUCCCGGCCAUGUCGCCUGCCUCUGCGCCCCACCUCCCGACCACGCGCCCGCCGCAGCGGCCCACCUCCCCGGACACGCGCCCCAUCGCCGCACUCCUGCAACCACAUCUCGGUGACGCGCCCAACCUUCUUCCUCCUCCUGCCACCUCCUGUCGCAGCGCACCACGCCAAGCACAUCCCCUACCUCCUCCUCCUCUUGCUUGCUCCCAGUGAGGCACCGAGCGCCCGACCAUCCCCUUCCACCUGCUCAGCAUCCCCAAUGCGACAGCGCAGAAAACCGUAGCUCGGCAGUCCACCCUCAUGCUCCGCCAUGGGUCUAUCAGAUAGCAAGAUGCAGGGCACCUCUCUCUCUCUCUCUCUCAAAUGAUUUGCCGUAUGGUCCAAUUUUGUAUCUUUGAUUUUGUUCUUUCUUGAAGCUUGGAUGAGAAAAACCUAAAAAAUUGCAGAAUGUUCCACCGUAUGCACUUUGUUCAUGUUCCUCUGUGAAUUGAUCAGUGAUCAUCGCGCUCGACUGUCUCCCUCCUGCCCCGUCUGUCCAGGUUUGGACUCACACCAGUUCAAGUAGUGAUGUUGCAACAGGUUGGGGAACAAUUUUGGAAUCACGUAUAUAUAGUGGUUGCUUGCAAAUGAAUUUGUCGUUGCUAGUACAUUUUUGUACCAGAUGAUUCCAAGUGAAUUGUCGUUUACUACUAUCCACGAUGUUCCUGCCAUGUUUUGUUUUCAUUUGAAUUUACUAUGUAACCACUGCUCAUGGUAACAUCAAACAAUAAAUUUUAUAUGCCUGGCAUGUUUGAUCUGAUUUGACUCCAUGACCAUAGUGCAAAACAAAAAUCUACAAUAUCCUUGCUAGCUUGCAUCUCUAAUUUAGUAAAAUUGUCUCUAAAGUUUUGAUUGCAUCGCCAUCUCCCGGUGGGGCUCUGCUGCCGGAGCACCCUGGACAUUCAAGGGAGGUGAAGCCCAGGGUGCUCGUCGGAGCCCGUACUGGAUCACGUACUGGAACCCUGACAUGAUGCAAUUAGUCAUUAGUGUCGACGACUGAUUUAUUUUGUUUUGUACAAGUUAAAACAUCAGUGGCCAUAGGGAAGGAGACCUUCCCAGAUCGUGCCCCUGGACAAUGCAACAACGAAUUGGACGCCGUUUCCGCCUCUCUUCCAGCAGCGCCGAUGUCCCCUUCUAGCUCAGCACCGGUUUCCCCGCCUCAUGAUACGGUCUGCAGGUGCUUGUGAGUUGUCUGCUAGGCGUUGUUUAAGUGUCAUAGAUGACGUGUUGUCUCCUGGCAUCUGGAUUAGCUGCCGACUGCAAAUAAAAGGUUGGAACUUCCUGUCUAUUUUGGUUGGUGAAUACGUAUUAACAAAAUUUCUUUUCUACAUGGUAGUUCAACUAUUUCAAAAAACAAAUUCUCUACACGAUAGUUCAUGUGCUGCUAGCAGAUAAGUUCAAAGAACAAACCGCCACAAGUACUUAAUUUCAAAUCAUUUUAUUUUGUUUAAUUUCAAUCAGCUCUACUACAUACGCUAUUCAAGUUCAGAGCUAACGACAUCAUCAGUUCGGACAUGAAACCAAAUUUCAAAUUAAAACCCCAAAAGGGUUAACUUCUAUAAGUCCAUGUUCCCAUACCGAGGUCGUUCAAAAAACCAGAUCAUAAAAGUCCACUGUUUCAUUUUGCAGGUUCAGAAAGAAAAAUUGAUGUUGUUUUUGCCAUUUUCAAAAUUGCUCUUAAACAAAAAGUUCAAUAUUAAACGUUUUGUGCCUGUCCUUACAUUAGCUAGUCUUUCACCAUGUCCAGAUAGUGCCUAGGAGAAGUGAAGAUAAGGUUUAUAUUUAUGUUUAUGAUAGUUGAAAGAUUAGGUGUAAAAAAUAUUUUCUUGCAGGCUACUGAAUGUUUCAAUUCGUUGUGUGUGAAUUUUGUUGUAGCAAAAUAUUUUCUCUUCCUCUAUAAAUCUCCCUCCUGUCACUAAUUUAUUUUCUCUCUGAAUACAACACGAGGGAGGCUGGAGAGACUGCAGACCGGUGACAAGAACCACUCUUUAGUUCUGCUAUUCGUGUAUUGGAAGUACAUAUCCUCUAUCCAGGCAGGAGGUAGAGUACUUGCUUAUAUGUUGAAGAUUUCUGCUGGAAACGAGUUCAUUAUUUUGCCCCUAGACUUGUAGACGGAGUGUUGGCGAAGACAGCUAUGGAGAGGAAACUGUAUAUGGUGAAGAAUUGGGAGCCAGAAGAGCAAAGCCGAUAGCAGGGCCGAGCAGAAGAUGUCGCCAAUGUUGUUGGGUCAUGGGAGAACACCAAGUAGAAGGCGGUCCUUGACGUGAAGCUCUGAAUGCCAGAGGUCUCGACUCUGAAUCUGGACCUUGCCUAGUUGCCUUUUUUGUGUUAGCUAGAUCAGUACUAGUGCUCAGUAGUACGACAAGUAGCAGUACUGAUCAGUACGACUUACACAAUACUAGUACUGAUCACUACUAUUUUUAAUGUUAAAAGUAACAUCCAUACUGUAUUUAUGAGUCAUACUGACAAGGAUGUCGUCUACAAUUCUAAACUUAUUGUUGACUCGUACUAGUACUGAUGAAAUGGGAAGCAAGUGUCACAUGAAUCCUCAAUUGAAUGGGAAGGAAGGUUGCAAUGA